CAGCUCUCCGAGUGGUAGGGAUGAUUAUUGGGCUUAAAGCGUCCGUAGCCGGCUUAGCAAGUCUCCUGUUAAAUUCAGCGACCUAAUCGUUGAGCCGCGGGAGAUACUAUUAGGCUAGGAGGCGGGAGAGGUCGACGGUACUUCUGGGGUAGGGGUGAAAUCCUAUAAUCCCGGGAGGACCACCAGUGGCGAAGGCUGUCGACUAGAACGCGCUCGACGGUGAGGGACGAAAGCUGGGGGAGCGAACCGGAUUAGAUACCCGCGUAGUCC
This 270-nucleotide ribosomal RNA is filed under the name uncultured archaeon. Its description in RNAcentral is "partial 16S ribosomal RNA". It matches the Rfam family "Archaeal small subunit ribosomal RNA", at positions 477 to 747 of the family's 1478-position model. The record is from RNAcentral.